CAGAUCUACAAACAGGGACCCACCGGGAUCCACGUCCUGGUCAGCGACGAGAUGAUCCAGAACUUCCAGGAUGAAUCCUGCUUCGUUCUGGACACCAUGAAAGCCGAAAGCAACGACAGCUACCACAUCAUCCUGAAAUAGGGGGCCAGGUGAGGGCCAGGUGAGGAGUACCUGCAGCUCUCAGCAUACCUGGACACCCUCCGCUCCCAGCACAAGGACACAAGCAGAGAUCUGGGAAGCCCCAGGUGUUGUUACCUGGCCGCCCUCCUCGCAGGGAACACCUGGAGACCCUCUGGAGAGCCCCCAGGUGUGGUUACCUGGCAGCCCCUGCCACAGGUGACUCCUGGCAUGGACAGGAUGCUCCAUUGCUGGAGCUCUGAGGCACCAGGUGUUCACUCACCUGGGACAGGUGUGUGCAGGUGUGAAGUGAUCUUUUAAGGUCAUCAAGAAUUUCAUAUCCAGAUUUAAUUAUGGAAAAUUGGAGGAUAAAGGAGUAACUCGGGGGGAGGGAGGGUGAGGGGACAUUGCUGCGUGUUUUGGGGAGAAAAGCAAAGAUUUCGCUAUUUCUGCUGAAUAUGUGAAGUGAUUGAAGCGGCUCUGGGCAGGUGUCCAGGUGAGGGAUCUGCCCAGGUGUGGGAGGUCAAUCCCAGAUCCCUCAAGACUUGGAUGCUCCAGGUAAUACCAGACUCAGCCUAUGAGGUGUUUCAGGCAAAAAAACA
Molecule: non-coding RNA, 719 nt
Organism: Cyanistes caeruleus (blue tit)
Lineage: Eukaryota; Metazoa; Chordata; Aves; Passeriformes; Paridae
Source: RefSeq, a predicted model, not a curated record